CUACGGAGGAUCCAAGCGUUAUCCGGAUUUAUUGGGUUUAAAGGGUGCGUAGGCGGACUGGUAAGUCAGCUGUGAAAGUUUGCGGCUUAACCGUAAAAUUGCAGUUGAUACUGUCAGUCUUGAGUGUGCAUGAGGUGGGCGGAAUUUGUGGUGUAGCGGUGAAAUGCUUAGAUAUCACGAGGAACUCCAAUUGCGAAGGCAGCUCACUGGGGCAUAACUGACGCUGAUGCACGAAGGUGUGGGUAUCAAACAGGAUUAGAUACCCUGGUAGUCCACACAGUAAACUAUGAAUACUCGCUGUUUGCGAUAUACAGUAAGCGGCCAAGCGAAAGCAUUAAGUAUUCCACCUGGGGAGUACGCCGGCAACGGUGAAACUCAAAUGAAUUGACGGGG
This 393-nucleotide ribosomal RNA is filed under the name uncultured bacterium. Its description in RNAcentral is "partial 16S ribosomal RNA". It matches the Rfam family "Bacterial small subunit ribosomal RNA", at positions 523 to 918 of the family's 1533-position model. The record is from RNAcentral.